CCCUCCUUGGUUUUAGGCCCCAGGCACUCUCCUGCUGGCUGUGACUCCUGGACUCAAGAUAGUGGUUGAGGGAUAUACAUUUGUUCCCAAGAAGUGGGAGCUCCAGAAAGGCAAAUUUCAGUUCAACAUCAGGUCUUCUCCAGUGAGCUACAGCUAUCCACAGGGCCAGACUGCUUUCAGGAUCCUAGUUUCCUGACCAGGGAUGGAACCUGGGUCCAGAGCAGUGAAGUGUCAAGGCCUAACCACUGGACUGCCAGGGCCCGCAUCCAAAUCCAUCCCCAGUUCUCCUGGAAGAUGCAAAUCUGAUCCUGGCUAUGUGAAAUGAUUCAGCAGUUCCCCAGGACUUUGCGAACAAGCUCAGAAGCCUGGCUCUGGCUCCUGCUGGCUCACCCGCCCCGCUCCUCACACACCUUCCUACACUCGCUGGUGCUUCUGUCCCCAAGAAGGGGUCACCUGUGGUUCUCCGGCACCGUGGGCUUCCAUGCUUUGGCACCUGCGGUUCUUUCUGUCUGGAGGCCCUACCCCCUCCCGGAUGCGAAGACUCCUCAUCCUUUUAAAAUACAAUUCAAGUGCCGCCUCUUCCUCAAACCCUCCCGGGUCCCAGCUGGACUUAGAUGUGCUCAUCGCAUUUCUCUGUGCUCCAGCAUUUUCAUUCUGCUUUACUUGACUGUCCUCCCUGCUCCAGUGUAAGCUUCUUGAGGGCAGACGCUGUCUUUUUCCUUCCACACCCCUCAUGCCCUCCCAGUGGGCUCUGCUGGAAGCCAGUCCGGGUGGGCGCACUCCUCCCUGGGCACUGCGGGCCCCCCGGGACACUGAGCCCGGGAAGCCAGGAGGCAGGACACCAGGCCCCUGGACACUGUCUGUGCCACGCAGGACCGCGAGUCCGAGACCCAGAGCGGAGCUUCGGAGCUUGACCGCCGCCACAGGCACAGGAGUCUGGGCCCGGGAGUCUGCUCACAUCCAACCCGGGCUUUGCAAAGGAGGCCCGGAGCCGAUUGAGGCUUGGUGGGACCGACAGACACACCUCGCCAGGGCAUUCAGAAGGGCUCGUGGCGGGCAGGAACCCGCAGCUGGGUGGAUCCUUGACUUUCCCACCCCACGGGCAGAGUGCGAGCGUGUCAGAUAGGACAAAUGGAACUAUUUGGGAUUCCAGCCGCCGGGCCUGGGAUGGCGGCCUUCCUGAAUCCCGGUUCCUAGGGCGCACAGCCUCCCCCUCCCCCCACCUAGUCCCGGGAAGCCACGUGACCUGCGCCCCCAGGAGCCACUAAUCGCCGGUCCCCGUCCCUUCUCCAAAAUAGGGAAGCGACAGGAGCAGAUCGAGUUUCUCGGCCCGUAUUUACAGGUUUCCUGGACGAAGCCAAACCGUCUACCUCCUUGCCUCAUUCCCCCAGCGCGCGUAGGGGGAAAAAAGGGCCCCCUCCUGCGCCCCACCCCCACCCCUCCAGGCCUCCCAGCCGCGGGUGCGGCCCCUUCCUCUUCCCUCCCUCCGCCGCAGCUCGGCCGGCCCCUCCGGGGGCGACGCUGAGGUCGCCGCAUUCCAAACCCCGGGCGGCCCUUUGAGGUCACGUGGUGUGAUGGGGGUGGGGCGGCAGGACGCCCCUGACCCAGGCCUGCGACCUGCAGGCCUCGCAGUGAGGCGAAUUCUCCAGCCUGCUCCCCAGACCUCGUGGGAGUGAGGCAAGGCGGAUAUUUACUCCCCAGCACCUACUGUGUGCCUGGCCCAGGCUGAGCUCUCACGCUUCUUACCUCCAGGCCUUCCUGGACCGGGCUGGGGGCUCACAGCUUUCCCGAUGGAUAUACUGACCCUGAUGCCGGGAAGGAUUGAGGGCAAGAGGAGAAGGGGACGACAGAGGGCGAGACGGUUGGAUGGCAUUACCGACUCGAGGGACAUGAGUUUGAUCUAACUCCAGGAGAUGGUGAAGGACAGGGAAGCCUGGUGUGCUGCAGUUCAUGGGGUCGCAGAGAGUCGGACACGACUGAACCGUUGAACAAUACUGGCUGGGAGUCACCAAGGCAGAAUGGAAGCGGGGGAGGUGGGGCGGGGGGGUGAGAGACCGGGGUAGAGCCAAUCGCUUAGUUUAUGCAAAGACGGACCUUUGUCAGUCUCAAGUUAAGAGAAGACCGUGUCCCCUCUGUUUAACCAGGGACCCAGACGUCUCUCUCGGUGGGUAAGGUAGCCUGGAGGAGGGCAUGGCAACCCACUCCAGGGUUCUUGCCUGGAAAAUCCCAUAGACAGAGGAGCCCGGCAGGCUACAGUCAGAGUUAGACACGACUGAAGCGACUUAGCAAGGCAGGCAGACCUCUGAGACCUGUGUUUUAGGCUCCGCGACAAGAAAACGAAGAAGGAGUUGAUUUCCUCCUGGGUUGGGCAGAUGGUCUCUAAGCUGCUCCCUCUAUUUUAGUAUGAACUGGGUUAGAAAUUGCCUUUACUGGAGCUGAACCUGGUCACCGUGAAGGGUCCUUGACUCCUUUAUCGGUUCAAGGCAGGAGUGAGGUUGAGGCACUGCCCACAGCCAGCCUGCCUGAGAAGUUUGAUCUUAUAGGACAGGGAGAGUACAGGGGAUAGAAUGGAGGUGACAGAAGGGUGGCAGGUUUUGGAUGGGGGCGGGAGGUCUGCAUUUGAAUAUUUAUAACUCAGAUCUGAACCCUUACCAAAUGUGUCAUGUAUAUUAAUAUUUAUCCAUUUGCAUGAUCAUUCACUAUUUUACCAGGAACAGGCCCUGACCUGGAACUGGAGGGAUUAAGACUGAGUUCCUGUCUUUGAGCUUACAGUCCAGUGGGAAAGCUAAACAAGUGAGGAGGUAUUUGCAGUGCAGGGAACCAAAGCGCGACAGUGAGGACCAGACACUGCUGUGGGAUAACACAGAGGGGGAGCGCUGAGCCUCAGACUAGGUUGGGAAGGAGGAUGGGUAUGGAAUACGUGUUAUCUCAACUGAGGCUUGAAAUUUAGACUGUCCUUAAUCUAGGACUUCCCUGGUGGUCCAGUGGCUAAGACUCCAUACUCCCAGUGCAGGGGCAGGAGUUUGAUUCCUGGUCGGAGAGCUAGAUCUCGCAUGCUACAACUAAAGAUCUCAUAAGUCACAAUUAGAAAAAAAAAAUAUGCCACGUGCCACAACCAAGAGCUGGCACAGCCAAAUAAUAAAUAUUAAAAAAUCUUUUAUCUGUUGCGGUGAGAGUGGAAUAGGAAAGAAUAGCCUUCCAGAUCGAGGACACAGUGCAUGCAAAGGCCCAGAAGCAGGCUCAGUUGGGCUGGAGUAUAGCCACCCUGUGGAUGGUGCGCAGAACAGGAAGAGAUGGAGGGAGUGCUUCUGGGGGAAGA
Molecule: long non-coding RNA, 3319 nt
Organism: Cervus elaphus (red deer)
Lineage: Eukaryota; Metazoa; Chordata; Mammalia; Artiodactyla; Cervidae
Exons: 3
Source: RefSeq, a predicted model, not a curated record